AGCAGCCGCGGUAAUUCCAGCUUCAAUAGCGUAUAUUAAAGUUGUUGCAGUUAAAAAGCUCGUAGUUGAAUUUCGGGGUCAGUAGAUUGGUCGUGCCACUGGUAUGUACUGGCCUCACUGGCUCCUCCUUCCUGAUGAACCGUAAUGCCAUUAAUUUGGUGUUGCGGGGAGACUGGACUGUUACUUUGAAAAAAUUAGAGUGUUUAAAGCAGGCUAACGCUUGAAUACAUUAGCAUGGAAUGAUGAAAUAGGACGUUCGAUCUUAUUUUGUUGGUUUCUAGGAUUGACGUAAUGAUUAAUAGGGAUAGUUGGGGGCAUUAGUAUUCAAUUGUCAGAGGUGAAAUUCUUGGAGUAAU
Molecule: ribosomal RNA, 356 nt
Filed under: uncultured Glomeraceae
Lineage: Eukaryota; Fungi; Glomeromycota; Glomeromycetes; Glomerales; Glomeraceae
Description: SSU rRNA
Rfam family: Eukaryotic small subunit ribosomal RNA
Source: RNAcentral